RNAcentral lists this long non-coding RNA (468 nucleotides) under Mytilus galloprovincialis (Mediterranean mussel). Lineage: Eukaryota; Metazoa; Mollusca; Bivalvia; Mytilida; Mytilidae. The record is from RNAcentral.
GUUUGUCUAGGUCUCUUCAAAAUUCCCAAGUAUCAAAUAAAUUAAGGAUUAUCUUUAAAAAUUGUGCCAUUUCAGCCUAUGAAAAAAACCCAUCAUAGCUGACUAUGCAGCAUGGGCUUUGUUCAUCGUAGAAGGCCGCAUGCUGACCUAUAGCUGUUAAUUUCUGUGUCCUUUGGUCUCUAUUGGAGAUUUAUCUCAUUGGCAAUCAUAUCUCAUCUUUUUUUUUUUCUUAUAAAGUUUGAAAUAUUUUCCAUGUAACGUACCAGUAAAUACAUGUAUUACUGGGGUGAUACAGAUGUUCCUUAGCGACUCCUCCCAGUCAUGUGACAGUCAUGUGUCAAUAAGUAAAUUAAACAUUGAGGUGUGAAGUGAUCAGUAGGUAUCAUCUCAUUAUCCUUAAUUGACUUCACACCUUGGUCAGGUAGAGCCUUUCAUCUCUAUAGGUAUGCCCCUUUCAUCUUCAGAAAC